RNAcentral lists this non-coding RNA (107 nucleotides) under Acinetobacter ursingii. RNAcentral's name for it is "Glycine riboswitch". It matches the Rfam family "Glycine riboswitch aptamer". Rfam says of the family: This family represents the bacterial glycine riboswitch. Glycine riboswitches usually consist of two metabolite-binding aptamers domains with similar structures in tandem. The record is from RNAcentral. Lineage: Bacteria; Pseudomonadati; Pseudomonadota; Gammaproteobacteria; Moraxellales; Moraxellaceae.
CUUCAAUCUGGAGAGAAGUAUUUAAAAAUACUCACCGAAGGGGAUGGUUAAAAUAAUUAAUAGGAAUUAUUGAAAACCGAAGCUCUCAGGUACAUAGACAGAUGGGG